AGCAUACGGACGUCGUGGUCGGUUCCGUGAACGCUCGUUGUUUGUUUCGGCAAGUAAUAUCGUUUUACAAAAUAGCUCAACAAAUAUAAAAUAUAUACAUAUACCUACAUACAUAUGUGUGCAUUGCUUAAGAUUAUCAAGAAAUCAUAAUAAAGAAAAUCGAAAGAGAAGUCAGCUACAAAAGCAAAUAAGAAAUGUGAGUAGAUUUCAAGAAAUCACAAAUGCGUGUGCCGACACACAUGUAUAUCAAUUUAUUACAUACAAACGUACAUGUUUGUGCGUCCGUGCGUGCGUGCGUGAAGGUGUGUGUGUAUGCGAGAGGUGCAAAAUAAAAUUCACAAACGGUAAAAUAAAUGAAUAAAAUUGUGUACACAAAGUGAGCUGUGAAAUUGCGGCGCAAAAACAAAGCCCGCAAAUUAAACGAAGAGGAAGUGUAAAAAAAAAAAUAAAAUUUAUUAAUUCAAACCUACAUCUAGGAAAGUGCGUCGUUUUUAUUUUGAUAUCGAUAGAAAAAUAAAAAUACAUUAGAAGUGCGCCUCAUUUGUCUUACAGACAAAUAUACCUGCUAAUGUUUUCAUACAUAUGCAUUAUUGUGCAUGCAUGUGUUUGCCUGUGUGUGCGUGUGCGUGUGCAAAGUGCAACAUAAACAAACGAAAAUGUUUUUCAAGAAUGCAAAAAGGUACGAAAAAAUGCAUCGCUAGAAUGAGGUGAAUACUCGAAAUGCAAAUAUAUAAGAAUAUAUGUGAAACCGAAAAAAAAAUUAAAAACCUUAAGAGGAACGGGCGAUGAUAACAGCAAAUCAACUGCAUCACAUGUAACUCGGAGAAGAGCCAAAGCACAACAAUAAAGCAAUAAACAAAAGAAACUUCAUCGAAUCGAGAGUCAGCCGGCAGCCUGAAAUGCAUAACAAACAGUCUCCCUGUUGGUUCGAUGACAUUCAGAUUACAGAUAAUUGGAGGCAUUUAGAUCGAUGAUCUGAUUGAUCCUUCGACAGCAUCGUGCUAGAAAUUGGAAUUUGGGAAUGGAAUGGAAUAGAAUGGGGGAGGAGAACAACUUUUCCCUGUCCGUCAAUAAUUGACAGUUGGUUUUAUUUCGCUCCCCAUUUCUGCUCAAUGGUAUUUCCGCAUGGCCCACUUUCCAGCCACUCACGCUGCAAUUAAUAUCAAGAAAAUUCCAAAAAACAAGAAAAGCGCCCAGCCUAAAUAAUGUGUAACAAAUGGCGCGCCUGUCACAGCAACAAAAUAACAAGAAGAACGACUGCAACUGCAA
Molecule: small RNA, 1269 nt
Filed under: Drosophila mojavensis
Lineage: Eukaryota; Metazoa; Arthropoda; Insecta; Diptera; Drosophilidae
Description: GI26382
Source: RNAcentral